RNAcentral lists this ribosomal RNA (477 nucleotides) under uncultured bacterium. RNAcentral describes it as "bacterial SSU rRNA". It matches the Rfam family "Bacterial small subunit ribosomal RNA", at positions 1052 to 1529 of the family's 1533-position model. The record is from RNAcentral.
UCGUCAGCUCGUGUUGUGAAAUGUUGGGUUAAGUCCCGCAACGAGCGCAACCCUUAUCCUUUGUUGCCAGCGGUCCGGCCGGGAACUCAAAGGAGACUGCCAGUGAUAAACUGGAGGAAGGUGGGGAUGACGUCAAGUCAUCAUGGCCCUUACGACCAGGGCUACACACGUGCUACAAUGGCGCAUACAAAGAGAAGCGACCUCGCGAGAGCAAGCGGACCUCAUAAAGUGCGUCGUAGUCCGGAUUGGAGUCUGCAACUCGACUCCAUGAAGUCGGAAUCGCUAGUAAUCGUGGAUCAGAAUGCCACGGUGAAUACGUUCCCGGGCCUUGUACACACCGCCCGUCACACCAUGGGAGUGGGUUGCAAAAGAAGUAGGUAGCUUAACCUCCGGGAGGGCGCUUACCACUUUGUGAUUCGUGACUGGGGUGAAGUCGUAACAAGGUAACCGUAGGGGAACCUGCGGUUGGAUCACCUC